AUUCAAUUAGCUUAAUGGUUAAAGCAUUUCACUGUUAAUGAAAUUAUUAUUAGUUCAAAUCUAAUAUUGAUCG
RNAcentral lists this transfer RNA (73 nucleotides) under Mitosporidium daphniae. RNAcentral describes it as "tRNA-Asn". It matches the Rfam family "tRNA". Rfam says of the family: Transfer RNA (tRNA) molecules are approximately 80 nucleotides in length. Their secondary structure includes four short double-helical elements and three loops (D, anti-codon, and T loops). The record is from RNAcentral. Lineage: Eukaryota; Fungi; Microsporidia.